AUCUAGGCUCUUGCAUCGAUGAAGAACGUAGCGAAAUGCGAUACUUGGUGUGAAUUGCAGAAUCCCGUGAACCAUCGAGUCUUUGAACGCAAGUUGCGCCCGAUGCCAUUAGGUUGAGGGCACGUCUGCCUGGGUGUCACAUAUCGAAGCCUCCUGCCAAUAAUUUU
Molecule: ribosomal RNA, 167 nt
Filed under: Lathyrus magellanicus
Lineage: Eukaryota; Viridiplantae; Streptophyta; Magnoliopsida; Fabales; Fabaceae
Also listed under: 3 other names
Description: 5.8S ribosomal RNA
Rfam family: 5.8S ribosomal RNA (bases 1-139)
About the family: 5.8S ribosomal RNA (5.8S rRNA) is a component of the large subunit of the eukaryotic ribosome. It is transcribed by RNA polymerase I as part of the 45S precursor that also contains 18S and 28S rRNA.
Source: RNAcentral